GGGGGGGGUGGGGGGGGGGGUGGGGGGGGGGGGUGGGGGGGGGGGGGGGGGGGCUGUUUGGUGGGUGUGGGUGAGUGGCGAGGGGGUGGGUAACACGUGAGUAACCUGCCGCCUUCUUCUGGGUAAUCGGAUGAAAGGGUGGCUAAUACGGGAUAUUCUGGGGCUGUCGGAUGCUGGGUCUGGGAAAGAUAUUGUUUCGGUGGGGGAUGGGGUCGCGGCCUCUAAGCUUGUUGGUGGGGUGAUGGCCUACAAAGGCGGUGACGGGUAGCCGGCCUGAGAGGGUGGACGGACAAACGGGGACGGAGACACGGUCCAGACUCCGACGGGAGGCAGCAGUGGGGAAUAUGGCACAGUGGGCGAGAGCCUGAUGCAGCGACGCCGCGUGAGGGAUGGAGGCCUGCGGGUUGGGAACCUCUUUCGACAGUGAAGCAGGCCUGCCGCGUUUGUGGGUGGGUUGACGGUAGCUGGAGAAGAAGCGCCGGCUAACUACGUG
This 493-nucleotide ribosomal RNA is filed under the name uncultured bacterium. RNAcentral describes it as "partial 16S ribosomal RNA". It matches the Rfam family "Bacterial small subunit ribosomal RNA", at positions 39 to 507 of the family's 1533-position model. The record is from RNAcentral.